This is a non-coding RNA of Cricetulus griseus (Chinese hamster), 86 nucleotides long. NCBI's taxonomy places the organism in Eukaryota, Metazoa, Chordata, Mammalia, Rodentia, Cricetidae. The record is from Rfam.
GAGCCAGUGCUAUGUGGAAGACUUGUGAUUUUGUUGUUCUAAUGUGAUAUGACAACAAGUCACAGCCGGCCUCAUAGCGUGGACUC